UGGGGAAUCUUGGACAAUGGGGGCAACCCUGAUCCAGCCAUGCCGCGUGAGUGAUGAAGGCCUUAGGGUCGUAAAGCUCUUUCGCCUGUGAAGAUAAUGACGGUAGCAGGUAAAGAAACCCCGGCUAACUCCGUGCCAGCAGCCGCGGUAAUACGGAGGGGGUUAGCGUUGUUCGGAAUUACUGGGCGUAAAGCGCACGUAGGCGGACCAGAAAGUUGGGGGUGAAAUCCCGGGGGCUCAACCCCGGAACUGCCUCCAAAACUAUUGGUCUAGAGUUCGAGAGAGGUGAGUGGAAUUCCAAGUGUAGAGGUGAAAUUCGUAGAUAUUUGGAGGAACACCAGUGGCGAAGGCGGCCUCCUGGCUCGAUACUGACGCUGAGGUGCGAAAGCGUGGGGAGCAAAGCAGGAUUAGA
Molecule: ribosomal RNA, 412 nt
Filed under: uncultured bacterium
Lineage: Bacteria
Description: bacterial SSU rRNA
Rfam family: Bacterial small subunit ribosomal RNA
Source: RNAcentral